CAGCCACUGGGGGUGACAGGUACCAGUAAUGUCACAUAGCAACAUCCGGCUUCCUCUCCCUAGCAACUAGCCUCCUUGGAGUUUCUUCAGCCCAGGAACACACC
Long non-coding RNA from Myotis brandtii (Brandt's bat), 104 nucleotides. RefSeq lists it as uncharacterized. Lineage: Eukaryota; Metazoa; Chordata; Mammalia; Chiroptera; Vespertilionidae. The transcript has 3 exons. The record is from RefSeq and is a predicted model, not a curated record.